CAGCAGCCACGGUAACACGAAGGGUGCAAGCGUUAAUCGGAAUUACUGGGCGUAAAGCGUGCGCAGGCGGUUUGUUAAGACAGAUGUGAAAUCCCCGGGCUCAACCUGGGAACUGCAUUUGUGACUGGCAAGCUAGAGUGUGGCAGAGGGGGGUGGAAUUCCGCGUGUAGCAGUGAAAUGCGUAGAUAUGCGGAGGAACACCGAUGGCGAAGGCAGCCCCCUGGGCCAACACUGACGCUCAUGCACGAAAGUGUGGGGAGCAAACAGGAUUAGAUACCCCCGUAGUCCCUGUCUCUUAUAC
RNAcentral lists this ribosomal RNA (301 nucleotides) under uncultured bacterium. Its description in RNAcentral is "partial 16S ribosomal RNA". It matches the Rfam family "Bacterial small subunit ribosomal RNA", at positions 509 to 807 of the family's 1533-position model. The record is from RNAcentral.